UUUUAUUUAGUUUAAAUGAGUUUGAAACGUUAUAAAUCAUAGUACGAUGAAUUAUUUUAAGUUGUCUCCAUUUACUCGACUUUAGAUAUUUUAGAUGAUGUUUGUUUACUCACUGAGUUUAUAUAAACUCACCACCCUCCUUUCCACUCAUUCCAAGAUCAGGACAGUCCGUAAAUAGCUGAUUACGUCUAGGGUUAUUAUU
Molecule: long non-coding RNA, 202 nt
Filed under: Theobroma cacao (cacao)
Lineage: Eukaryota; Viridiplantae; Streptophyta; Magnoliopsida; Malvales; Malvaceae
Description: long non-coding RNA (TCAC_LNC003028)
Source: RNAcentral